Molecule: non-coding RNA, 78 nt
Organism: Sphingomonas sp. 66-10
Lineage: Bacteria; Pseudomonadati; Pseudomonadota; Alphaproteobacteria; Sphingomonadales; Sphingomonadaceae
Source: Rfam
GAGCCAUGCCUUUCAGGCAUCCUCUCCUAAAAACUUUCAAAGGCCGGUCCUCGCGACCGGCCCUUUUUUUUGCCCGAU